AUCGAGUGUGUUGUUCAUUUAAACUCUUUUUCAAAUUUAACACAAUACUAUUGAUCAAAUAAGUUUCAUUCUGAGCAGAAGUGUUGUAAAACUUUGACGAAAAUUAGUUGCCUGGGAUUUCGAUACUUUUUCCUUCGGUAGAAACACAACCAGACAGAAACAGAGUUUGUAAUUAAUUACAACACACAUAAAACUGCAGCAAUGGAGUGGAUAAGACUGUAGUAGACAGUUAUAAGCUUAACUAACAUGUAUAGUGAGGAUUUAGUUACGAAGGCAAAACAAAUUUUCAAGGGCUAUUUGUAUGCUGCACUUCGAUGCCACGGUCAAGUUUUGGAAGAUAUUACAAAGACGUAGUUUGCAAUAAUACUCGUUUAGCGAAUUUAACUGCAAAAUAUUAUAUUUUGUUCAAUUUUUGUAAUGUUGUGAAUUUGGCCAUUUAUUAAAUAUGUUAUUAAAUCCUAAAUUACUGUGCUCAAUCUUUAAAGUUAUUUAAUGGAAGACAAUGACGUUGUAUGAUAUAGUUAAUAAAAGUUUUAAUGCCACGUGAGUUCAGAGGUUUGAAAUAUUUUGCAUUAUGUGUCUCUCGUUACAAUAAUGUAUUUUCUGUUUUCGCUAUAUUUAUGCAUGUUUGUGUACAUUUAUUUGUGUUUAUGUCGAUAAAUUGUAUUAUGCAUAUGACUAAUAAAGGUUUUGUUAUAUCAUUUA
Molecule: long non-coding RNA, 705 nt
Organism: Mercenaria mercenaria
Lineage: Eukaryota; Metazoa; Mollusca; Bivalvia; Venerida; Veneridae
Exons: 2
Source: RefSeq, a predicted model, not a curated record